RNAcentral lists this unclassified non-coding RNA (345 nucleotides) under uncultured Sordariales. RNAcentral's name for it is "sequence contains ITS1". The stretch from base 1 to 105 matches the Rfam family "5.8S ribosomal RNA", at positions 50 to 154 of the family's 154-position model. The record is from RNAcentral. Lineage: Eukaryota; Fungi; Ascomycota; Sordariomycetes; Sordariales.
GAAAUGCGAUAACUAGUGUGAAUUGCAGAAUUCUGUGAAUCAUCGAGCCCUUGAACGCAAAUUGCGCCUGUGAGUCGCCUCGCAGGCACACCUGUUUGAGUAUCGGCAAUCAAAUUCAUCCUAUACCAUUUAUUCCCUCCCAGCGGGGGGAUAGAAAGUGUGAUAGGGAUAAUGGGUUUGUUGGCCAAACAUUUUGGCCAUCACCUGAAAAACAGUGGCGGGCUCGCUGUCACCCCGAGCGUAGUAGUAUUAUCUCGCUUAGGGCGUGCUGCGGGUUCCGGCCGUUAAACCCCCCCAUACCCCAAGGUUGACCUCGGAUCAGGUAGGAAUACCCGCUGAACUUAA